Molecule: ribosomal RNA, 442 nt
Filed under: uncultured Oscillibacter sp.
Lineage: Bacteria; Bacillati; Bacillota; Clostridia; Eubacteriales; Oscillospiraceae
Description: bacterial SSU rRNA
Rfam family: Bacterial small subunit ribosomal RNA
Source: RNAcentral
CCUACGGGUGGCUGCAGUGGGGAAUAUUGGGCAAUGGGCGCAAGUCUGACCCAGCAACGCCGCGUGAAGGAAGAAGGCUUUCGGGUUGUAAACUUCUUUGACAGGGGAAGAGUAGAAGACGGUACCCUGAAAACAAGCCACGGCUAACUACGUGCCAGCAGCCGCGGUAAUACGUAGGUGGCAAGCGUUGUCCGGAUUUACUGGGUGUAAAGGGCGUGUAGCCGGGUCGGCAAGUCAGAUGUGAAAUCUGGAGGCUUAACCUCCAAACUGCAUUUGAAACUGUUGGUCUUGAGUAUCGGAGAGGUAAUCGGAAUUCCUAGUGUAGCGGUGAAAUGCGUAGAUAUUAGGAAGAACACCAGUGGCGAAGGCGGAUUACUGGACGACAACUGACGCUGAGGCGCGAAAGCGUGGGGAGCAAACAGGCUUAGAUACCCGUGUAGUC